RNAcentral lists this ribosomal RNA (828 nucleotides) under uncultured bacterium. RNAcentral describes it as "SSU rRNA". It matches the Rfam family "Bacterial small subunit ribosomal RNA", at positions 333 to 1164 of the family's 1533-position model. The record is from RNAcentral.
AGACUCUACGGGAGGCAGCAGUGAGGAAUAUUGGUCAAUGGACGCAAGUCUGAACCAGCCACGUCGCGUGAAGGAGACGGCCUACGGGUUGUAAACUUCGUUUUAGUAAGGGAAUAAAGUGAGUCACGGGUGACGUUUUUGCAUGUACCUUACGAAUAGGAUCGGCUAACUCCGUGCCAGCAGCCGCGGUAAUACGGAGGAUCCGAGCGUUAUCCGGAGUUUAUGGGUUUAAAGGGUGCGCAGGCGGGAGAUUAAGUCGGCGGUGAAAUUUUGCAGCUCAACUGUAAAAGUGCCAUCGAUACUGGUUUUCUUGAGUGUAGAUGAAGUAGGCGGAAUUUGUGGUGUAGCGGUGAAAUGCAUAGAUAUCACGAGGAACUCCGAUUGCGCAGGCAGCUUACUAAACUACAACUGACGCUCAGGCACGAAGGCGUGGGGAUCAAACAGGAUUAGAUACCCUGGUAGUCCACGCAGUAAACGAUGAUUACUGGCUGUUUGCGAUAUACAGUAAGCGGCUGAGCGAAAGCGUUAAGUAAUCCACCUGGGGAGUACGUUCGCAAGAAUGAAACUCAAAGGAAUUGACGGGGGCCCGCACAAGCGGAGGAACAUGUGGUUUAAUUCGAUGAUACGCGAGGAACCUUACCCGGGCUUGAAAUGCAUCUGACAGGGGCAGAGACGUCCCAUCCCUUCGGGGCAGAUGUGUAGGUGCUGCAUGGUUGUCGUCAGCUCGUGCCGUGAGGUGUCGGCUUAAGUGCCAUAACGAGCGCAACCCUCAUCAUUAGUUACCAUCAGGUCAGGCUGGGGACUCUAGUGAGACUGCCAUCGUAAGAU